RNAcentral lists this ribosomal RNA (439 nucleotides) under uncultured bacterium. Its description in RNAcentral is "partial 16S ribosomal RNA". It matches the Rfam family "Bacterial small subunit ribosomal RNA", at positions 339 to 795 of the family's 1533-position model. The record is from RNAcentral.
CUACGGGGGGCAGCAGUGAGGAAUCUUCCACAAUGGGCGAAAGCCUGAUGGAGCGACACCGCGUGAAGGAUGAAGGGUUUAUUCUCGUAAACUUCUUUUCUGUGGGAAGAUGAUGACGGUACCACAGGAAUAAGGGACGGCUAAUUACGUGCCAGCAGCCGCGGUAAUACGUAAGUCCCAAGCGUUAUCCGGAAUUAUUGGGCGUAAAGUGUUCGUAGGCGGGUAUUUAAGUUGGAUAUGAAAGACCGGGGCUCAACCUCGUGUUUGUGUUCAAAACUGGAUACCUAGAAUUGGAGAGAGGCAAGUAGAAUUACUGGAGUAGGGGUGCAAUCCGUAGAUACCAGUAGGAAUACCAAAAGCGAAGGCAACUUGCUGGCUCCAUAUUGACGCUGAGGAACGAAAGCGUGGGUAGCAAAGAGGAUUAGAUACCCGCGUAGUC